CCUACGGGAGGCAGCAGUGAGGAAUAUUGGUCAAUGGACGAGAGUCUGAACCAGCCAAGUAGCGUGAAGGAUGACUGCCCUAUGGGUUGUAAACUUCUUUUAUAUGGGAAUAAAAUGUUCCCCGUGUGGGAUUUUGUAUGUACCAUAUGAAUAAGGAUCGGCUAACUCCGUGCCAGCAGCCGCGGUAAUACGGAGGAUCCGAGCGUUAUCCGGAUUUAUUGGGUUUAAAGGGAGCGUAGGUGGAUUGUUAAGUCAGUUGUGAAAGUUUGCGGCUCAACCGUAAAAUUGCAGUUGAAACUGGCAGUCUUGAGUACAGUAGAGGUGGGCGGAAUUCGUGGUGUAGCGGUGAAAUGCUUAGAUAUCACGAAGAACUCCGAUUGCGAAGGCAGUUCACUGGACUGCAACUGACACUGAGGCUCGAAAGCGUGGGUAUCAAACAGGAUUAGAUACCCCAGUAGUC
This 460-nucleotide ribosomal RNA is filed under the name uncultured bacterium. RNAcentral describes it as "partial 16S ribosomal RNA". It matches the Rfam family "Bacterial small subunit ribosomal RNA", at positions 338 to 795 of the family's 1533-position model. The record is from RNAcentral.